UACGAAGGUUGCAAGCGUUACUCGGAAUUACUAGGCGUAAAGGGCAGGUAGGUGGUUUGGUUAGUCUAUUGUGAAAGCUCCCGGCUUAACUGGGAGAGGCCAAUGGAUACUGCCAAGCUUGAGUAUAGGAGAGGUUACUGGAAUUCCCGGUGUAGCGGUGAAAUGCGCAGAUAUCGGGAGGAACACCAAUGGCGAAAGCAGGUAACUGGACUAUUACUGACACUCAACUGCGAAAGCUAGGGGAGCAAACAGG
RNAcentral lists this ribosomal RNA (253 nucleotides) under uncultured bacterium. RNAcentral's name for it is "partial 16S ribosomal RNA". It matches the Rfam family "Bacterial small subunit ribosomal RNA", at positions 524 to 776 of the family's 1533-position model. The record is from RNAcentral.